Molecule: non-coding RNA, 23 nt
Filed under: Rattus norvegicus (Norway rat)
Lineage: Eukaryota; Metazoa; Chordata; Mammalia; Rodentia; Muridae
Source: RNAcentral
UGGUUCCACUUGACUUCUAAGGU